AGCUGUCCCCAGCGGCCAGUGUCCCCCAUGCCGGAUCUCUAGGAUCUGGAAGGCCGCUGCUGCCAGGAACAAGAAGUCAGAGAGGGCCAGGCUGAGCAGGAGCAGUGCCAGACGCGUGCCAGCUCCAUGCCGGGCCUGGGAGCCGGCCAGCCACGCCAUCAACCCAUUGGCUGGCAGCCCAAGGAGCAGCACGGCCACUAGGAAGACCGUGUCCCAGCCACCCUGGGGGUAGGAGUCCUCAUCGUCAAGCUCUGUGCGGGGCCCGUGGCCGGAGGCACCCAGGUCGGCUUCCAUAGUAGUGUCCAUUUAGGGUCCCCAGAGUCCUGCUGGACAUGGAGUGGGUGCCUGGUGAAUCAAUGAUGGUGUGAAUGACCGAGUAUGGGAGAGACGGUGCUGUGCAUCUCCAGAGCAGGCAAGGGGGCAGCACGGCCCAAACCUGGCCAGUGGCCCUCAGAAGCCCCCUGCGGGGGUUGUGACUCCCAAGAGUGAUGCAGAGGAGCCCCCGCUGACCAGGAAGAGGAGCAAGAAGGAGAGGGGGCUCCGAGGGUCUCGAAAGCGCACUGGCAGCUCUGGGGAGCAGACAGGCCCUGAGGCCCCGGAGAGCAGCAAUAACCCUCCCAGCACUAGAGAGGGGCCGGCGAGCGCACCCCCUGCAUCCCCCGGGCCGGCCUCUUCUCGCCAGUCCCACCGACAUCGUCCUGACUCCCGGCACGAUGCUGCUCAGAGGACAUACGGGCCCCUGCUCAAUCGAGUCUUUGGGAAGG
This 764-nucleotide small RNA is filed under the name Pongo abelii (Sumatran orangutan). RNAcentral's name for it is "processed transcript". Lineage: Eukaryota; Metazoa; Chordata; Mammalia; Primates; Hominidae. The record is from RNAcentral.